GGCUGGUCCGAUUGUAGUGGGUUACCAGACUUAGUAACAUUGAUAUCACUAAAGUUAGUAUACAGCCCCCCACUGCUAAAUUAGACUGGCUGUAA
RNAcentral lists this Y RNA (95 nucleotides) under Cercocebus atys (sooty mangabey). Its description in RNAcentral is "Y RNA (ENSCATG00000008548.1)". It matches the Rfam family "Y RNA". Rfam says of the family: Y RNAs are components of the Ro ribonucleoprotein particle (Ro RNP), in association with Ro60 and La proteins. The Y RNAs and Ro60 and La proteins are well conserved, but the function of the Ro RNP is not known. Lineage: Eukaryota; Metazoa; Chordata; Mammalia; Primates; Cercopithecidae. The record is from Rfam by way of RNAcentral.